Molecule: long non-coding RNA, 276 nt
Filed under: Physcomitrium patens
Lineage: Eukaryota; Viridiplantae; Streptophyta; Bryopsida; Funariales; Funariaceae
Description: long non-coding RNA (PPAT_LNC014919)
Source: RNAcentral
UUGCUACGUACCCUGCAUAAGCAAAACCAUCGCCAAGUACUUUUGUUUCCAUCCGUGUUGCCGUAAUAUAAGGUUGUCUUAAAAUCAACGGAUAAGACGUUGUAUCUUGAACAAAAAAAUAUUACUCCAUUGCAACAUCCCCAAUCUGAAUUUUGACAUUUAGACAAGCUCCAUAUAAUUCGCCCCAUGUGUUAUUAGUUACUCGUAUUGCCCAUCCAUGUUCCAUAUCAAUUGGCUAUUUUUGCUUCUUAUAAAGAUCUUUAGACAUAAGAUUUA